GCCCUGAAAAAAAAUGUUUGUUUCACCCUCAGCUGCCACUAUAUAUAAUGCUAAAAUUGAUUUCGACUUGUCACCAAAAUUUGUCCUAAAAAAAUCAAAAGCUCACGCCCCCCUCCCCCUCCACAAAAAUUUAAGUAAAUAGUUGCUGCCUAAUUCAUUUGAAAAGGUCUUCCCGAAUCGACUUGACGUACACGGAAAUAUUCGCCACUGGUCUUUACUCAAAAAACGAUUCACGCAUAAAUGCAUGACUAAAAAAAAUGUGAGGUAAAUGAUCUGUUUGUCUAGUAUCUCAGUUCCGUUAAAUAACACGUAAAAUAAAUUUAAAAAACGUUACCCUAUUCCUUUACCAAAUAUUCCUUGGAGAAGAAAAACCAUUUGAAACGAACAGAAAAGAUAAAAAUGUAGUGAUCCAUAAUAUCUCAAUCCUUUUUUUUCCGGCUGUAAGCACGCUGUUGCAGCUAACGUUUUCUAAUGCGUUAUCGAGACAUCUCUAGUGAUAUUCAAACUACUGCAAAUUAUAAAAAUGGC
This 528-nucleotide long non-coding RNA is filed under the name Mytilus galloprovincialis (Mediterranean mussel). The record is from RNAcentral. Lineage: Eukaryota; Metazoa; Mollusca; Bivalvia; Mytilida; Mytilidae.